Molecule: ribosomal RNA, 198 nt
Filed under: Allobrachymonas sp.
Lineage: Bacteria; Pseudomonadati; Pseudomonadota; Betaproteobacteria; Burkholderiales; Comamonadaceae
Description: Brachymonas sp. partial 16S ribosomal RNA
Rfam family: Bacterial small subunit ribosomal RNA
Source: RNAcentral
UACUCCUACGGAGGCAGCAGUGGGGAAUUUUGGACAAUGGACGCAAGUCUGAUCCAGCAAUGCCGCGUGCAGGACGAAGGCCUUCGGGUUGUAAACUGCUUUUGUACAGAACGAAAAGGCUCUGGUUAAUACCUGGGGCUCAUGACGGUACUGUAAGAAUAAGCACCGGCUAACUACGUGCCAGCAGCCGCGGUAAUA